This 251-nucleotide ribosomal RNA is filed under the name uncultured bacterium. RNAcentral describes it as "partial 16S ribosomal RNA". It matches the Rfam family "Bacterial small subunit ribosomal RNA", at positions 525 to 775 of the family's 1533-position model. The record is from RNAcentral.
ACGUAGGGGGCAAGCGUUAUCCGGAUUUACUGGGUGUAAAGGGAGCGCAGGCGGUGCGGCAAGUCUGAUGUGAAAGCCCGGGGCUCAACCCCGGGACUGCAUUGGAAACUGUCGUACUUGAGUAUCGGAGAGGUAAGUGGAAUUCCUAGUGUAGCGGUGAAAUGCGUAGAUAUUAGGAGGAACACCAGUGGCGAAGGCGGCUUACUGGACGAUAACUGACGCUGAGGCUCGAAAGCGUGGGGAGCAAACAG